AUUGCUGAGGCUCCGCUUCGGGUAGGAGGACGCUGAGGAGGCGCCGAGCCGCGCAGCGCUGCGGGGGAGGCGCCCGCGCCGACGCGGGGCCCAUGGCCAGGACCACCAGCCAGCUGUAUGACGCUGUGCCCAUCCAGUCCAGCGUGGUGUUAUGUUCCUGCCCAUCCCCAUCAAUGGUGAGGACCCAGACUGAGUCCAGCACGCCCCCUGGCAUUCCUGGUGGCAGCAGGCAGGGCCCCGCCAUGGACGGCACUGCAGCCGAGCCUCGGCCCGGCGCCGGCUCCCUGCAGCAUGCCCAGCCUCCGCCGCAGCCUCGGAAGAAGCGGCCUGAGGACUUCAAGUUUGGGAAAAUUCUUGGGGAAGGCUCUUUUUCCACGGUUGUCCUGGCUCGAGAACUGGCAACCUCCAGAGAAUAUGCGAGUGAGUAUGGGCUGCAGGGAGCUGCGCAUCCGGGAGCAGGGCAAGCGGCUCCGUGCAGGGCGGCCGGGGUGGCAGGCCGGUGUUUCUGUGCUGAUUUCAGGGUACGGGACACUGUUGGCUUUAGAGACCACCAGGCUGUUGUGUACAAUGUUUGAAAGACUUUAAUUUGUACCAGUUACCUUUGUGAGUCAUGUCUUUAGUGUUUUUUGUUGUUUCUGAUAGUAACUCACUUCUCUCUCACCUGAAGUUAAAAUUCUGGAGAAGCGACAUAUCAUAAAAGAGAACAAGGUCCCGUAUGUAACCAGAGAGCGGGAUGUCAUGUCGCGCCUGGAUCACCCCUUCUUUGUUAAGCUUUACUUCACAUUUCAGGACGACGAGAAGCUGUGUAUCCUUUGCGUGGUUGGUGCCGUCUGAAGCCACACCAGUCACCCCUCUCACUUGGAAUCAGACCCUGUGUGUUCCCACAAGCAGCCCCCGCUCCCUGCCGAGUGGGGUCCCUCAGGCCGCUGACAUUCAGGGAGGCAGCCGAGGCAGCGCCAGGGUGUGGCUGUGAGUCUGCACAGGACGUUACCUCCCGGAGAAGCCACUGAUGUGGCUCCAGCACAGUCCUCUCUGCUGCGGCUUGCUUGGUCGGUGUCCCUUGCUCCCCUAGAGCGCCAUCUUUUCUGUUAUUAAACCUUGGCUCAGGAAUCUGGGAGGCAAGG
This 1124-nucleotide small RNA is filed under the name Pan troglodytes (chimpanzee). RNAcentral describes it as "retained intron". The record is from RNAcentral. Lineage: Eukaryota; Metazoa; Chordata; Mammalia; Primates; Hominidae.